CCAGACGGCCGGGCGAUCGCGGUCUCCGCAAGGGGGUCGAGGAAAGUCCGGGCUCCACCACGACAUGGCGGCGGGUAACGCCCGCCGGGGGCGACCCCAGGGAUAGCGCCACAGAAAGCAAACCUCCGCUCUUAGGAGUGGGAAGGGUGAAAGGGUGGGGUAAGAGCCCACCGCGUGCCUGGUAACAGGGACGGCAUGGCAAGCCCCGCCAGGAGCAAGACCGAAUAGGGACCGUGCGCUCUCCGCAAGGAGGGCAGGGCUGUCGUAGGCCUGGGCGGUCCGGGUAGGUCGCGAGAACCGUCCCGCGAGGGGCGGUCCAGAGGAAUGAUCGUCGCGUUCUGGGUUUCGGCCCGGGGCGGCACAGAACCCGGCUUACAGGCCGUCUGGUCCA
This 391-nucleotide RNase P RNA is filed under the name Phenylobacterium sp. RNAcentral's name for it is "RNase P RNA component class A". It matches the Rfam family "Bacterial RNase P class A". Rfam says of the family: Ribonuclease P (RNase P) is a ubiquitous endoribonuclease, found in archaea, bacteria and eukarya as well as chloroplasts and mitochondria. Its best characterised activity is the generation of mature 5'-ends of tRNAs by cleaving the 5'-leader elements of precursor-tRNAs. Cellular RNase Ps are ribonucleoproteins. The record is from RNAcentral. Lineage: Bacteria; Pseudomonadati; Pseudomonadota; Alphaproteobacteria; Caulobacterales; Caulobacteraceae.